Molecule: non-coding RNA, 31 nt
Filed under: Rattus norvegicus (Norway rat)
Lineage: Eukaryota; Metazoa; Chordata; Mammalia; Rodentia; Muridae
Source: RNAcentral
UGAGUUACUAAGGUGUUUUCCGGAGAAGAGC